This 376-nucleotide ribosomal RNA is filed under the name uncultured bacterium. Its description in RNAcentral is "bacterial SSU rRNA". It matches the Rfam family "Bacterial small subunit ribosomal RNA", at positions 523 to 898 of the family's 1533-position model. The record is from RNAcentral.
AUACGUAGGUGGCGAGCGUUGUCCGGAUUUACUGGGUGUAAAGGGUGCGUAGGCGGGUUAUCAAGUUGGGUGUGAAACCUCCGUGCUUAACACGGAGCCUGCAUUCAAAACUGGUAAUCUUGAGUGAGGUAGAGGUAGAUGGAAUUCCCGGUGUAGCGGUGAAAUGCGUAGAGAUCGGGAGGAACACCAGUGGCGAAGGCGGUCUACUGGGCCUUAACUGACGCUGAGGCACGAAAGCAUGGGUAGCAAACAGGAUUAGAUACCCUGGUAGUCCAUGCUGUAAGCGAUGAUUGCUAGGUGUGGGUGGACUGACCCCAUCCGUGCCGGAGUCAACGCAAUAAGCAAUCCACCUGGGGAGUAUGGCCGCAAGGUUAAA